RNAcentral lists this long non-coding RNA (2813 nucleotides) under Homo sapiens (human). Its description in RNAcentral is "HSALNT0276800". Lineage: Eukaryota; Metazoa; Chordata; Mammalia; Primates; Hominidae. The record is from RNAcentral.
AGGCACAUGAUUCAUAUCUGUAUAUGAUGCAUAGUCCAGAAAGGCUGGGACUUAGCUCUGUGGCUCUUGCCCCAGGUGAGACAUAAAAGCUUUCUUGUCCCUUUCCCUCCUGUUUGGGGUCCCAUAAGAACUGAAGGGUACAGUUCUCAGACAGCAGUUGGGUCUGAGCAUAAAAGCCCAUUAAUAAGGAGCAGGUGACACUGCCACAGCUGGGUAAUUUGUCUCUUUGCUCGUCUGCAGCCCAUUUGGUGAUGAUCUAUUUGUCUGAGGGAAUGGAUGAUGGCAGGUUUGUCAAUAUUUUACACUUAUGAACCUGCCUGUUCUUCUCUGCCUGGCUCUGCCCAACUGUCUUUGUCCCUGGCUCCUCUCAUUUCGUUUUGCAGAUUGGAUAACGGACUUCGGCAAAGAGUUAUGAAGGUGGAUUCCAUGAGGGCAGCUUUGGGAAGGGAAGAGGGCAGGAGAGGAGGGGUCGGCUCUCUGCAGGGAGAGGAGGGGUGGGUGGGAGACAUGUUCAGGAGAAAAAGAUGUCACAGACAUAGUGGUGGGCAGAAAGGAACUUCAGAGAGAGAGAGAUCCUAGGACAGAGGACAGUGGGGACUCUGGGGAGGCCUUGUAGAAGACAGCUUGAAGAACUGAGUCCAACCCUAAUAAUUAAGUUGGGCCUAGUACAAAAGCUAAUUGUGCUAGCCAGCCUCCAGGAUGUCCCACGUGACUCUCGCAUGUUGAUAUUUACACCUAUUGGUUAGACAUGCAGCCCUGCUCACGUAUUGAUAUUUAUAUUCUGAGCAUGGAUGGCGCAUGCCUGCAGUCCUAGUGACUCAGGAGGCUGAGUCAGGGGGACUGCUUGAGCCCAGGAGUUGGAGACUUCAGUGAGCUAUGAUUGUGCCACUGCACUCCAGCCUGGGCAACAGAACAAGACCCUGACUCCUGCAGAGGAGGGCUCCAUGUCCAACCAAUGGGAUGUACAAAAACGACAGUGUGACUUCCAAGGUCAGAUCACAAAAGUCCUUGAAGGUUUCACCUUACUGGAUCACUUGCUCUGGGGGAAGCCAGCCGCCAUGUGGUGAAGACACUCAAGCAGCCCUCUGGAGAAGCCCAUGUAGCAAGGAACUGAGGUCUCCUGCCAACUACCAGCGCUAACUUGCCAGCCUUGUGAGACCCCCAGAGAAGGAACCGCCCCAGCUAACCACCCACUCCAGAAUUCCUGACCCUCAGGAACUGUGUGAGAUCAUAAAUGCUGAUUGUUUCAAGCUGCUAAGAUUUGGGGUAAUUUAUUCCAUAGUAAUUGGAAAUUGUCUAAAUCUCUAUUUGUGGAAUUUUUCUUUUUUUCUUUUUUUUUUUUUUAAAGACAAGAUCUCCCUCUGUUGCCCAGGCUGGAGUGGCAUGGCAUGAUCAUGGCUCACUGAAGCCUUGACUUCUUGGGCUUAGGCAAUACUCUGGCCUCAGCCUCCCGAGUAGCUGGGACUACAGGCACACACCACCAGCUAAUAUUUUAAAAUUAUUUUUAUAGAGAUGGGGUCUUCCUAUGUUACCCAGGCUGGUCUUAAACUCUGGCCUCAAGUGAUCCUCCUGCCUCAGCUUCCCAAAGUGCUGGGAUUAUAGGUGUGAGCUACUGUGCUCAGCCACAUUUUUACUGGUGGAAUUUUUUUUUUUUUUUUUUUUUUGGAGACAGGGUCUGACUCUGUCACCCAGGCUGGAGUGCAGUGAUAUGAUAUUGGCUUACUGCAACCUCCGCCUCCUGGAUUCAAGCCAUCCUCCCACCUCAGCCUCCUGAAUUGCUGGGACUACAGGUGUGCACCACCACACCCAGUUAAUGUUUGCAUUUUUUGUAGAGAUGGGGUUUUGUCAUGUUGCCCAGGUUGGUCUCGAACUCCUGAGCUCAAAGCUAUCUGCCCACCUCGGCCUCCCAAAGUGGGAUUACAGGCAUGAGCUAUCCCACCCGGCCUAUUGAUGGAAUUUUAUCCUAACUGGUUUGCUGACCAGAAUACAGCAACUGGUUUGCUACACAGAAUGAAUGGUCUGUGGGUAAGGACAGUUCACAUCAGGUGCCCAGUUAACCAGCAUUGUAUGUCACUGAGUGCCACAAAGAGAGCCCAGUUCCACCCUCACUCUUUUUUUUUCUUUUUCUUUUUUUUUUUUUUUUGAGAUGGAGUUUUGCUCUUGUUGCCCAGGCCGGAGUGCAAUAGCGCACUCUGGGCUCACCACAACCUCCGCCUCCCAGGUUCAAGCGAUUCUCCUGCCUCAGCUUCUCGAGUAGCUGGGAUUACAGGCACGUGCCACCAUGCCCAGCUAAUUUUGUAGUUUUAGUAGAGACGGGGUUUCUCCACAUUGGUCAGGCUAGUCUCGAACUCCUGACCUCAGGUGAUCUGCCCACCUUGGCCUCCCAAAGUGCUGGAAUUACAGGCGUGAGCCACCGUGCCCGGCAUACCCCUUUUCUUUUAGAGUGAACGUCUUGUUCUGUUGUUCAGGCUGGAGUGCAGUGGCAUGACCAUAGCUCACUGCAGCCUCCAACUCCUGGGCUCAAGCAGUGCUCCCACCUCAGCCUCCUGAAUAGCUGGGACUACAGGCACACAUUACCAUACCCAGUUCAUUUUUAAAAAUUUUUAGUAGAGACAAGGGUCUCACUAUGUUGCCCAGGUUGGUCUUGAAAUCCUGGCCUCAAGUAAUCCUCCUGCCUGGGCCUCCCAGUGUGCUGCGAUUACAUGUGUGAGCCACUGAGCUUGGACCCCAUCCCUGCUCUCUUUCUUCCUUUCCUUUUCCUUUUCCUUUCCUUUCUGUCUUUCUUUCUUUUGUUUUUUUGUUUUGUUUUGUUU